Molecule: small RNA, 125 nt
Filed under: Marmota monax (woodchuck)
Lineage: Eukaryota; Metazoa; Chordata; Mammalia; Rodentia; Sciuridae
Source: RNAcentral
GCCGGGCACAGUGGCACAUGCCUGUAAUCCCAGAGGCUCGGGAGGCUUAGGCAGGAGGAUCAUGAGUUCAAAGCUAGCCUCAGCAAAAGCAAGGUACUGAGCAACUCAGUGAGACCCUGUCUCUA